This 255-nucleotide ribosomal RNA is filed under the name uncultured bacterium. Its description in RNAcentral is "partial 16S ribosomal RNA". It matches the Rfam family "Bacterial small subunit ribosomal RNA", at positions 524 to 776 of the family's 1533-position model. The record is from RNAcentral.
UACGAGGGGGGGCGAGCGUUGUUCGGAAUUAUUGGGCGUAAAGGGUGCGUAGGCGGUUUGGUAAGUCUCUUGUGAAAUCUAUGGGCUCAACUCAUAGUCUGCAAGGGAAACUGCCGGGCUUGAGUGUGGGAGAGGUGAGUGGAAUUUCCGGUGUAGCGGUGAAAUGCGUAGAUAUCAGGAGGAACACCUGUGGCGAAAAGCGGCUCACUGGACCACAACUGACGCUGAGGCGCGAAAGCUAGGGGAGCAAACAGG